This 429-nucleotide ribosomal RNA is filed under the name Bacteroidota bacterium. Its description in RNAcentral is "Bacteroidetes bacterium partial 16S ribosomal RNA". It matches the Rfam family "Bacterial small subunit ribosomal RNA", at positions 355 to 776 of the family's 1533-position model. The record is from RNAcentral. Lineage: Bacteria; Pseudomonadati; Bacteroidota.
UAGGGAAUCUUCCGCAAUGGACGCAAGUCUGACGGAGCAACGCCGCGUGAGUGAAGAAGGAUUUCGGUUCGUAAAACUCUGUUGUUAGAGAAGAACAGCGCAUAGAGUAACUGUUAUGCGUGUGACGGUAUCUAACCUGAAAGCCACGGCUAACUACGUGCCAGCAGCCGCGGUAAUACGUAGGUGGCAAGCGUUGUCCGGAUUUAUUGGGCGUAAAGCGAGCGCAGGCGGUCAAUUAAGUCUGAUGUGAAAGCCCCCGGCUCAACCGGGGAGGGUCAUUGGAAACUGGUUGACUUGAGUGCAGAAGAGGAGAGUGGAAUUCCAUGUGUAGCGGUGAAAUGCGUAGAUAUAUGGAGGAACACCAGUGGCGAAGGCGACUCUCUGGUCUGUAACUGACGCUGAGGUUCGAAAGCGUGGGUAGCAAACAGG